AGUUCCUAUAUCGUCAUCAAUUUGGGAGGAGCUGUUAUCUUUUAGUCACAGCUGAAGCUGGCUCGGUGACCACUUGAAAAAGCUGCUUUUAAUCUAAAUCCAUCAGUAAUAUCGACAUUGUUAAAUAUAAAUCUGGAAGGGACCUCAGAGGCCCUUAUUCCAUUCUCUUCAUUUGUAUAUAAGGCCUUUUCUAGGGUCCCCCACAUAGUAAGCGGAAAAGAUGAGUUUAGCCCCGACGCUGACUCCACAGCCAGUUCUUCCACUGUAACCGGGGCCUCUACAAUAACUUUCAGGGACUUAAGGCAAUUUUCCCCCCUCCUGGACGGAAGGACACCCAUUCCACCCACAUAGUGCAUGUGCCAGCUUUUCUGCCGUUUACUAACUAGCUGCACUUUACUAAAAACGUUAUUGUCUGACUUUUAAGGCCCCUCGAAACCUUUUCCAGCUCAUCUUUCCAGGUUUAUCAUAUAUUUACCCCCUUUUACACUCUACAAUCCAGCUCUGAACAGCUGCAAGGAAGAAGGAAGAAAGGCAGUAGCAGAUGGUGUGGCAAGGAAUGGGAAUUUGAAGAGAUCCCAUAAAUUGGGGAAUGGAUGAACAACAUAGAACAUGUAAAUGUGACGAAAUACUAUUGUAAGAAAUAGAGAGGAUUUCAGGAUGAUGUGAGAAGACUUACAUG
Long non-coding RNA from Antechinus flavipes (yellow-footed antechinus), 679 nucleotides. RefSeq lists it as uncharacterized. Lineage: Eukaryota; Metazoa; Chordata; Mammalia; Dasyuromorphia; Dasyuridae. The transcript has 3 exons. The record is from RefSeq and is a predicted model, not a curated record.